UACGUAGGGGGCAAGCGUUAUCCGGAUUUACUGGGUGUAAAGGGAGCGUAGACGGCUAAUCAAGUCAGAAGUGAAAACCCAGGGCUCAACCUUGGGACUGCUUUUGAAACUGUGUGACUGGAGUGCAGGAGAGGUAAGCGGAAUUCCUGGUGUAGCGGUGAAAUGCGUAGAUAUUAGGAGGAACACCAGUGGCGAAGGCGGCUUACUGGACGAUGACUGACGCUGAGGCUCGAAAGCGUGGGGAGCAAACAGG
Molecule: ribosomal RNA, 253 nt
Filed under: uncultured Lachnospiraceae bacterium
Lineage: Bacteria; Bacillati; Bacillota; Clostridia; Lachnospirales; Lachnospiraceae
Description: partial 16S ribosomal RNA
Rfam family: Bacterial small subunit ribosomal RNA
Source: RNAcentral